CCUUCGAUAGCUCAGUUGGUAGAGCGGUGGACUGUAGAAGAGACUCCAGUAAGUCAAUAGAGUAAUCCAUAGGUCACUGGUUCAAAUCCGGUUCGAAGGA
Molecule: transfer RNA, 100 nt
Filed under: Anopheles darlingi
Lineage: Eukaryota; Metazoa; Arthropoda; Insecta; Diptera; Culicidae
Description: tRNA Tyrosine
Rfam family: tRNA
About the family: Transfer RNA (tRNA) molecules are approximately 80 nucleotides in length.
Source: Rfam by way of RNAcentral